CCUGUCCGACGGUCGGUCACAGGUCGGGAUGUGAUCCGCGGGGCACACGCUCCGGUCGGGAUUGAACCACGAA
This is a non-coding RNA of Natrinema sp., 73 nucleotides long. The record is from Rfam. Lineage: Archaea; Methanobacteriati; Methanobacteriota; Halobacteria; Halobacteriales; Natrialbaceae.